Molecule: ribosomal RNA, 1808 nt
Filed under: Peltula hassei
Lineage: Eukaryota; Fungi; Ascomycota; Lichinomycetes; Lichinales; Phylliscaceae
Description: LSU rRNA
Rfam family: Eukaryotic large subunit ribosomal RNA
Source: RNAcentral
AGCAUAUCAAUGAGCGGAGGAAAAGAAACCAACAGGGAUUGCCUCAGUAACGGCGAGUGAAGCGGCAAAAGCUCAGAUUUGAAAUCUGGCCCCGUCUUGGGGCCCGAGUUGUAGUCUGUAGAGGAUGCUUCGGGGGUGAGCCAGGUCUAAGUCCCUUGGAACAGGGCGUCAGAGAGGGUGAGAGUCCCGUCUGUGGCCUGGUCUUCUCCCUCGGGUGAAGCUCCCUCGACGAGUCGAGUUGUUUGGGAAUGCAGCUCCAACCGGGUGGUAAAUCUCAUCUAAAGCUAAAUACCGGCCAGAGACCGAUAGCGCACAAGUAGAGUGAUCGAAAGAUGAAAAGCACUUUGGAAAGAGGGUUAAACAGCACGUGAAAUUGUUGAAAGGGAAGCGCUUGCGAUCAGACUUGCCCGUGGCCCUUCAGCCGGUGGAUUCCCGCCGGCGCAAUGGGCCGUGGGCAGGCCAGCAUCGGCUCGGGCGGCGGGAGAAAGACCCUGGGAAUGUGGCUCCCUUCGGGGUGCGUUAUAGCCCGAGGUGUCACGCCGCCGCCCGGACCGAGGCCCGCGCUCCGGCAAGGAUGCUGGCGUAAUGGUCGUCAGCGACCCGUCUUGAAACACGGACCAAGGAGUCUAACAUCCACGCGAGUGUUUGGGUGUCAAACCCCGGCGCGCAAUGAAAGUGAACGGAGGUGGGAGCCCGUAGGGGUGCACCAUCGACCGAUCCUGAAGUCUUCGGAUGGAUUUGAGUACGAGCGUGGCUGUUGGGACCCGAAAGAUGGUGAUCUAUGCCUGAAUAGGGUGAAGCCAGAGGAAACUCUGGUGGAGGCUCGCAGCGGUUCUGACGUGCAAAUCGAUCGUCAAAUUUGGGUAUAGGGGCGAAAGACUAAUCGAACCAUCGCCGCUAGGUGGUCGAGAGACGGGGGUGCCGAGUUGGCGACGCCGUCUAGUCCUCCCUUGGGGAGGGCGACACUGUCAAAUUGCGGGGACACCCUUAGAGCUCGGACCACCGCAGCCCGGCUGAAAGGCGGGUGCGCACCGGGGCGCUCAGCCCGGGGAAGGUCACAGCGUCCGAGAUUGGGCGAUCCGCAGCCAAGUCCCACGGGCUUCUCAAGCGCCGGGAUCAGGUUCACAGACUAGAUGGCAGUGGGUGUGGGCCUCAAAGGGCCAUGCCUAAGGUAUAGUCGGACCGCCGGGAGACCGGUCGAGGCAUCCGCGGCUCACCUUUGGGAGCACUGUGGGGUGUCCUCGGGGGCGCGGUGUUCGCCGCCGUGGCAACCCGCCCUGGAGUGAUCGCUAGUAGCUGGUUCCUGCCGAAGUUUCCCUCAGGAUAGCAGUAACGAACGUCAGUUUUAUGAGGUAAAGCGAAUGAUUAGAGGCCUUGGGGUUGAAACAACCUUAACCUAUUCUCAAACUUUAAAUAUGUAAGAAGUCCUUGUUGCUUAGUUGAACGUGGACAUUCGAAUGUACCGUUACUAGUGGGCCAUUUUUGGUAAGCAGAACUGGCGAUGCGGGAUGAACCGAACGCGGGGUUAAGGUGCCGGAAUGCACGCUCAUCAGACAUCACAAAAGGUGUUGGUUCAUCUAGACAGCAGGACGGUGGCCAUGGAAGUCGGAACCCGCUAAGGAGUGUGUAACAACCCACCUGCCGAAUGAACUAGCCCUGAAAAUGGAUGGCGCUCAAGCGUGCUACCCAUACCCCGCCGCCAGGGUAGGAACGAUGCCCUGGCGAGUAGGCAGGCGUGGGGGUCGGUGACGAAGCCUGGGGAGUGAUCCCGGGUCGAACGGCCCCUAGUGCAGAUCUUGGUGGUAGUA